Molecule: ribosomal RNA, 613 nt
Filed under: uncultured bacterium
Lineage: Bacteria
Description: bacterial SSU rRNA
Rfam family: Bacterial small subunit ribosomal RNA
Source: RNAcentral
AGGGGCAGCGGGGGCGUAGCAAUAUGCCUGCCGGCGACCGGCGCACGGGUGAGUAACACGUAUGUAACCUGCCCUAUGCAGGGGGAUAACCCGGAGAAAUCCGGCCUAAUACCGCGUAACACCUUUGGGGAGCAUUCCCUUGGGGUUAAAGGAGAGAUCCGGCAUAGGAUGGACAUGCGUCGCAUUAGGUAGACGGCGGGGUAACGGCCCACCGUGCCGACGAUGCGUAGGGGUUCUGAGAGGAAGGCCCCCCACACUGGUACUGAGACACGGACCAGACUCCUACGGGAGGCAGCAGUGAGGAAUAUUGGUCAAUGGCCGAGAGGCUGAACCAGCCAAGUCGCGUGAGGGAAGAAUGUCCUAAGGAUUGUAAACCUCUUUUGUCGGGGAGCAAAAAGGCUCUGCGGAGUCGUAUUGAGAGUACCCGAAGAAAAAGCAUCGGCUAACUCCGUGCCAGCAGCCGCGGUAAUACGGAGGAUGCGAGCGUUAUCCGGAUUUAUUGGGUUUAAAGGGUGCGCAGGCGGCGUGUCAAGCAAGCGGUAAAAUAGCGGGGCUCAACCCCGUCGAGCCGUUCGCACUGGCGCGCUUGAGUUCAGGCGAGGUAGGCCGAAUU